CCUACGGGUGGCAGCAGUAGGGAAUAUUCCGCAAUGAGCGAAAGCCUGAUGGAGCGACGCCGCGUGAGCGAUGAAGGUCUUCGGAUCGUAAACCUCUGUUAUCAGGGAAGAACAUUUACUCUACUAAUUGAUCUCGUCUUGACGGUACCUUCUCAUAAAGCACCGGCUAACUUUGUGCCAGCAGCCGCGUUAAUACGUAGGUCGCAAGCGUUAUCCGGAAUUAUUGGGGGUAAAGCGGUCGUAGGCUGUUUUUGUAGUCUGGGGGUAAAUCCCAGGGCUCAACCGCGGGAUGGUCUUUGAAACUAGCAAACUAGAGUGAGAUAGAGGAAAGUGGAAUUCCAUGUGAAGCGGUGAAAUGCGUAGAGAUAUGGAAGAACACCAGAGGCGAAGGCGACUUUCUGGGUCGAAACUGACGCUGAGGUGCGAAAGCGUGGGGAGCAAACAGGAUUAGAUACCCCAGUAGUC
This 465-nucleotide ribosomal RNA is filed under the name uncultured bacterium. RNAcentral describes it as "partial 16S ribosomal RNA". It matches the Rfam family "Bacterial small subunit ribosomal RNA", at positions 338 to 795 of the family's 1533-position model. The record is from RNAcentral.